This 2916-nucleotide ribosomal RNA is filed under the name Triticum aestivum (bread wheat). Its description in RNAcentral is "partial small subunit ribosomal RNA". The record is from RNAcentral. Lineage: Eukaryota; Viridiplantae; Streptophyta; Magnoliopsida; Poales; Poaceae.
UUGGUUUGUGGGGGGAGGUUGGGGCUGUAUUUUUUUUUCGAGAGACCGCCUCAGCAGCGGCGUCCUCCGUCCUGGUGGAGGUCAGGAGGUGAGGCGCUACGCCGCCGAUCCCGAAACUGGCGCACGGGCACAGGACGAGCCGAGGCCGGCUGGUGGUGGAGUGAGUGGAGUGAGGUCACGAGUGGUGAGGUGACAGCAGUAGUGGUAAAGAAGGCGUCCCCCAGAGCAGACUCCGCCUAAGCUAGCUCUACCAGUUCUAGCUUCUAACACUACCCCUACCGCGGCGGCUGGGCGGCGUCGGGUUAGGCCGAGGCCGUGGGCGACGGCAGUUCCGCCUCCUCCGCUAACUACUACCAGUCGGUCCGAGAAGUAGGUCGAUAAAUUCCAGUGUGAAAUAACCAUACCCUAAAAGUGGUUAUGACCAGCUGUUUUACGAAGUCUUUGUACCACUAGUACUAAGAUUGUGAUAUAACCUCAGUGAAAACAGAGUAGUAUUAAGGCCCAGACUUAGCAGUUCAAGCAAUCCGUCAGAGAAACUAAGACUGUUACUUCUUUUGUCAAGAUUUGUUCUGUAGUUCGGCCUCGGUCUAAGAAAGAGUCUUUCCUCCAGUAUAAAUGAGGCGUGUUACUUGAAGAGUGUCUGCCUUCAGCUAAAUCGUAAGUUGGUUAAUCCACUCCUACGUGAUGAACUAGUCGAACAUCUAAAGUAACAGUGACGAGUCCCUCCUCAUAAUGGCCCUCUAUACCUUUUACCGGUACGAUGUUUACUCCAUUUUCGACUUAGUAACAAACCCCAUUACCUAUUUUGCGAAGUAAACGAAGUCUACCCAAAAUGACUCCUUCUUCACAGUAACCGAUAACUAUCGAAGCCAGUCCUUCGUCGCCAAGUCCUCGAACGACUGAGUUAAAAACGUUCUGCAUAACGGUCAUGGUAACUCGUCUUUGUCCACUUUUAACUCAGACUUAAAGAUCCCCUCGUUCCCCUCGUUCUUUGACUUAUAAGUUGUAUAGUAGUCUCCAACUUGAUAAUACUACUACUGCUACUGUUGUUUUCUCAAUUUUUCCGGUUCGUAUAUAAGUCUCUACUAUCUCCUCGGAGUUCAUCAGUACGACAGUUAGUUGGAUGAGGCACCAAUUCACCGCCACAACCCAGUCGACCACUACCAAUAAACUUCCUUCUUCUAAUACUUUACUGUAACCCGGGAGCACGUUUACAGAGACCACUCGAACGGUUCGGAGGGAAGAAGGAGAUACCUUUACAACAAUUGUAGUGGUUUCUACGCACCAGACUUUAUAGCCCAAAGAACAGGCCACACGCCGGACUCAAAUAUUUAUCAGUCGAAAAGAGCCGAAACUACGCUUCCCUUCCAAUGGAAGUAUUGGAAGGUUGUCUCUCUUCCGUACAACACCAAGGCUUCAGUGGUUACUGUUAACUCCUACGUCACGGAAGGUGUUCUGUAAUGACCGGGUGUACCCUAUGGUCUUUUGUAUAACCAUCACAAUGAAGUCUCCACCGUCCUUAACUUGUUGAAACACUCUACAACCCUUUCUGGUAUUUUCUAAGUGCUCCUGAAGAAAGUCUUCUUUUUGCUCGCGUCUAGAACGUGGUUACGUUCUACCGUUUAGAAUAGACCUAACCAGUUCUGGCCGAUCCGGGAGACGUCGGUUUAGUUUACCUCGCCUAUAAUCCAAUGGGUAGUUUGGUAUGUUUAGACAAACCAGAUUUGGGUGGCCUGUCCUAACGACGAUACUUUAUGCGAAAAGUUUGCCUGUGGUAACGAAUAGAAAACAGUCAAGAUUUUCUGUAGAUAGGUCUACCAAACUCCCAUGAUAGGUAGAUAUCACCUCAACCCCCACGUCUUUAACGCGACGUAGCAGAGCCAUAAGGUGAUUUCACACAUCACAGACAACUUCUCAGACUACACUUGUCCUUUUAAGACUUUUCUACCACCCGUUUUUGUCUCGUCUCGCCUCAAGACUCUGUUGAUUUACCGUAUACCUUCGAUUUCUGGCUACGUGAACUCCUGGAUAAAUUCCUUAAACCACCGAAACUGAAUCAACAACCGCCUUUAAUGUCAAGUAUAUCUCCACCCUGCUGUCAUUUACGUUGAUACCCCUACCUGAGGUCAUUUAUGAAACUCAUGCAAGCACAAGAAGUUUCUCACUCUUCAUACGUCGUGAAAAUAUUCAUCAAUAACGGACUGUAUUAAUACAGGAAGUGGUAGAUAGAAGCUGUUCCCUACCGCGUCGCAAUACUCUGAACAUUUACCAUCCUACCUCUGCAUGCGAAACAACUGUCGAUCUCUUGAAACACGACAGAGAAAUAGGUCGAUCUCUUGAAAGAUGACAGAGAAGUAGUGACGUACUACUCAAGUUGAUAGGAAGACAAGGACCAAUUAAUCGACGUAUAGUGACAUUGAUAAUUAGCCAACCACUAAACGUAUACUCGAUCACUAAACACACUUUUGUAUGUACACUUGACUUGUCCAUAUACUAAAAGGAAAAAGUCAGAUCCUUACAAAUCGACGGGUGUGUAAUACGACGAGGUCUGUUACUGUGCACGUCUAAACACACGGUAAGACAUGCCAUCAAAGAAGUACCGGUUCUACCUUUACAGUCUAGUCAAACUCAAUCCAAAGAACUUAGCUUACCACACACUGAACAUACAGACGCACGAUUAUUUUGUCAGUCAAACUAGUAUUGGUUCUGACUAAACGACCCUACACCUGCUGUGCUCUGUAGUCAAUAUGGAUCACCAUGAGUUCAAGUUGGUCGAACGACCAAGACUUCUAAACAGUUGCAUAAGUCAAACAUGGUCUGUCUUUUAAAACUUCAUAGGCUCUUUUUUCCUACACGACUGAUAUAUUUGACCUACUACGGGGCUUGCAACAACGUCCUUAUAAAACGUUAUAAAGU